ACAUACGGCCGUACCACCAUGAACGCACACUGGAUCUCGUCUGAUCUCUGGAGCUAAGCAGGGUCGGCCCUGGUUAGUACGUGGAUGGGAGACAUUCGGUGACUCUUAGGUCCUCCCCAAUGAC
Mesocricetus auratus (golden hamster) is the source of this 124-nucleotide non-coding RNA. NCBI's taxonomy places the organism in Eukaryota, Metazoa, Chordata, Mammalia, Rodentia, Cricetidae. The record is from Rfam.